CCUACGGGCGGCAUCAGUGAGGAAUAUUGGUCAAUGGCCGAGAGUCUGAACCAGCCAAGUAGCGUGAAGGAUGACUGUCCUAUGGGUUGUAAACUUCUUUUAUAAAGGAAUAAAACGAGGCACGUGUGCCUUUUUGCAUGUACUUUAUGAAUAAGGAUCGGCUAACUCCGUGCCAGCAGCCGCGGUAAUACGGAGGAUCCGAGCGUUAUCCGGAUUUAUUGGGUUUAAAGGGAGCGUAGAUGGGUUGUUAAGUAAGUUGUGAAAGUUUGCGGCUCAACCGUCAAAUUGCCAUUGAUACUGGCGUUCUUGAGUACAGGAGAGGUAGGCGGAAUGCGUGGUGUAGCGGUGAAAUGCAUAGAUAUCACGAAGAACCCCGAUUGCGAAGGCAGCUUACUAACCUGUGACUGACAUUGAUGCUCGAAAGUGUGGGUAUCAAACAGGAUUAGAUACCCUAGUAGUC
RNAcentral lists this ribosomal RNA (460 nucleotides) under uncultured bacterium. Its description in RNAcentral is "partial 16S ribosomal RNA". It matches the Rfam family "Bacterial small subunit ribosomal RNA", at positions 338 to 795 of the family's 1533-position model. The record is from RNAcentral.